This 2387-nucleotide long non-coding RNA is filed under the name Cricetulus griseus (Chinese hamster). Its description in RNAcentral is "lncRNA (ENSCGRG00015041004.1)". Lineage: Eukaryota; Metazoa; Chordata; Mammalia; Rodentia; Cricetidae. The record is from RNAcentral.
CCGUCUCCACCGGAGCCGGGGCGUGGGGUGUCAGGGACGAGCCGGGGGCGGGGCGUGGGCGGGGCCAGUCGGGCUCGCACCUGGGAGCGGAGGGAUGGAUGCUGCGCUCCUGCGGAGGGCGGGCGAGCCGCCAGGCUCCGGAAACAGGACCCACGCCCCGCCCCGCCCGCCCCGCCCCCGCCCCGCCCGCCCCAGAGGGAGGAGGUCUGCAAGCAAACUCAUCGGACUCCUGCAGAACCCCUUGGGGUGAAGGCGGUGGUGGUAGAAGGGCUGCGCCCCCACCCCGUACCCCUCCCCACCCCCGUCUGUGCGCUGCUUACCGAAUAAGAGGCGCUGUGGCCACGGUUUCAUCUUUUCCCGAAGCCUCGACGUCAGCUGAUAGGAUGGGUGUGAGUUAUAGAGGAUGCAUUUUUGGUUUUUUUUUUUUUGAGGCUUAGAUAAAAUGAAUCGCAGGAUUGCGAAGGUCCUUACAGGUGGGCUGUGUGUGUGUCCCAAACAAGCAAGAAUCAGAAAACGAGGCUACCUACAGCUCAAAACAUUCGUUUGAUUUGUUUCUUCUUUUCACAGCCAGUUCUGCAACCGAGUCCUGUCUAUGUUGCCUUUACAGUGUUUUGCCCCCAAUCUCCUUCCAGUUGCCACGGCCACCAUCCUAACUCAAGACCCCUUGGUUGCUUCUUUGGUUUGUUGUAAUGUCCUCAUACGGUUGUCACCUGUUCGGAUCUGGUCUCUUUACCAACGCUGGGUGCAUAGUUGGGGAAUAACCUCGUGGCUGUGACAGCUCCCAAAGGAAAGCAAACUCGGUGGGAGAAUGACACAGGGUUUGGAAUGUCAGGGAUUAAAUCAGCUGCUCAGCCCUCUCUCACUGUGCCCCAAGUGUAAUUAAAGUCAAAGGAGUAGAGCCGUGGUGGGAGAAAGAGGUAGAGUUAUUUUAUGAUCAUAGAAAAAUAGAGAAUAAAACACAAUCUAAGUACAAACUGUAGUACACAGCCACCUCGCUACUUAAGAACUGUGGUGCCUGUAUCCACACUGACAGCCAAACAAUAUACACAGACUACCCAUGUUCAAAGAUAACACUCUGUGUUUAAUGAUGCAGAAGCCUUUUAGUAGCUUGCUCUUUCUUUCUUUCUUUCUUUCUUUCUUUCUUUCUUUCUUUUUUUGCGAAGGUCUCGUUGUGUAGCUCAAGCUAGCCUGGAACUGGCUAUGUAGACCAGGCUGGCCUCACACCCAUUCCAUGUAAAGAUACGCCUGUGUAGUCUCCCAAGUUCUGAAAUUAAAGGUACUUUAAAGUGGUCAGUGUGCUGGGUGGUGGUGGUGCUUCCUUUAAUCCCAGCACUGGGGAGGCAGGGGCAGGUGGAUCGCUGUGAGUUGGAGGCCAGCCUGGUCUACAAAGUUACACAGAGAACCCUGUCUCGAACCCCCCCCCCAAGAAAAGUGGGGUUUGUAAAACUUAUGUUAACUUUUCUCUGUAUAUCCAUCAGUCAAGCCUUGUCAGGCAAAGAAAAACAAAGAUUCUUGGCUGUUAAAAGGAAAUUUACUAGAGUCCCUUGGCUUCCUUGGGUGGAGGGAACAAUGAAAAACAAAGCACUCUGAGCUUCCUUCCCCCAAACCCCACCCCUUCCAACAAGGUAUUACAUAUUUCCUUCCAAUGGAAGAUGCUAAUUUUAGUAAGAGGAUGGGAAUUGAAAGUUAAAAUACUAUUAACUUCCACACCCUAGAGAGUUACUUUAAACUAAUAGUCUGUGGCUCUGUAUCCAAGCUGGAGUCAACAGAGAGGAAGGAGCCUCAGCUGAGGAAAUGCCUCCAUGAGAUCCAGCUGUAAGGCAUUUUCUCUUUUAGUGAUCAACUCCGGAAGGCCCAGCCUAUGGUGGGUGAUGCCAUCCCUGGGCUGCUGGCCCUGGGUUCUAUAAGAAGGCGGGCUGAGUAAGCCAUGAGAAGCAAGCCAGUAAGCAGUGUCCCUCCAUAGCCUCUGCAUCAGCUUCUGACUCCAGGAUCCUGCCCUGUUUUUGAGUUCCUGUCCUGACUUCCUUCAGUGGUGUGAGAAACUUGCUUUGCAGGCUGGCCUCGAACUCACAGAGAUCUGCCUCCCCGCUUGCAGGUGUGCAGAUAGCAACCUUCAUCGAAAAUGGGAUCCUGGAGUGCAAACUUCUGAUAAUCACUUAGUAUUUCACAGCUGCCCCGAGUAGAAUAAAAGCCUUGAGGUAGACACUUCAAUGUAAUAUAAAGACUUCAGCCUUUUAGAGUCAAAAUAAUUUCAAGUUAGAAAAUCAAAUUUGAAUAGGUUCAGUUUUUUUUUUAAACUGGACAAACUGACUUUAAAUUUCAUAAGAAAAUGGAAAAUGUCAACAAUUGCUAAGACAAUCUUGAAUAAAGUUGAAAGAACCUUUUAA